Molecule: non-coding RNA, 21 nt
Filed under: Arabidopsis thaliana (thale cress)
Lineage: Eukaryota; Viridiplantae; Streptophyta; Magnoliopsida; Brassicales; Brassicaceae
Source: RNAcentral
UGCAUGGAAGACAUGGGCGUC